AAGGGCUGUUCAGCCGCUGCAACAUACUUCCUAUUUCAUUGCUCCCAUACAUCAAGGGAAACGGUGGUUAAAAGGAACAAUGUUCUCAUAGUUAUAAAGCACAGGACUAAGCCAGAAAGUCAACAACCCUGUUCAUGCUUCCGGUGCAACUUCUACAUAGUACUUUUCUCUUUGUUUUGAUUUCUCUUUUUUUCUUUUAAACAAAAAUAGUCAUCCCGAACUCGCCAGAAUGGAAGGGAAACAGUUCAAAAGGCAUUUUUAAAUCGCUUUUCCAUCUCAGCUGGACAGCAUCGCAGAAAUUAAUAGCAUUGCUUGCAGCAACAAGGCUGGCAAUGCACCCUCGGGCCAUGCAGGCAGCAGUGUCUGAAGGCUGCUUCCAAGCUGACUUUUGGCUAGCAGGAAUGAUUCUGAAAGUUGGAUGAGACUGAAUCGAGCAAGUAACAACAAGUCCUUUUGGGAAGUUCCAAGGAUAUCAACCUAAACAAUCCUUAUAAGGCCUUAUCACCUUAAUAUUGGAGAUGGCAUCUUUCCUGAAGACCAGUAAUAGUAAUUUUCACCAGUAUAAAAUACAUAGUUUUUAAGUGCUUGCUUUGCAGCAAAGUUUAAAGUAGCAGUUUUAUAAUGAAGUCGGGAAGCUGAAAUUUGAUUGCUUGUUCAAUAAAUAUCAAGAGCAACUGACCUAUGCCA
Molecule: long non-coding RNA, 687 nt
Filed under: Calidris pugnax (ruff)
Lineage: Eukaryota; Metazoa; Chordata; Aves; Charadriiformes; Scolopacidae
Description: lncRNA (ENSCPUG00000019846.1)
Source: RNAcentral